UGGGGAAUUUUGGACAAUGGGCGAAAGCCUGAUCCAGCAAUGCCGCGUGCAGGAUGAAGGCCUUCGGGUUGUAAACUGCUUUUGUACGGAACGAAAAGCUUCUCCUAAUACGAGAGGCCCAUGACGGUACCGUAAGAAUAAGCACCGGCUAACUACGUGCCAGCAGCCGCGGUAAUACGUAGGGUGCGAGCGUUAAUCGGAAUUACUGGGCGUAAAGCGUGCGCAGGCGGUUAUGUAAGACAGAUGUGAAAUCCCCGGGCUCAACCUGGGAACUGCAUUUGUGACUGCAUGGCUAGAGUACGGUAGAGGGGGAUGGAAUUCCGCGUGUAGCAGUGAAAUGCGUAGAUAUGCGGAGGAACACCGAUGGCGAAGGCAAUCCCCUGGACCUGUACUGACGCUCAUGCACGAAAGCGUGGGGAGCAAACAGGAUUAGAUACCCUGGUAGUCCACGCCCUAAACGAUGUCAACUGGUUGUUGGGGAAUUAGUUUUCUCAGUAACGAAGCUAACGCGUGAAGUU
RNAcentral lists this ribosomal RNA (518 nucleotides) under uncultured bacterium. RNAcentral's name for it is "partial 16S ribosomal RNA". It matches the Rfam family "Bacterial small subunit ribosomal RNA", at positions 355 to 866 of the family's 1533-position model. The record is from RNAcentral.